UACGAAGGGUGCUAGCGUUGUUCGGAAUUACUGGGCGUAAAGGGCGCGUAGGCGGUUUGGCAAGUUGGAUGUGAAAGCCCAGGGCUCAACCCUGGAAUUGCAUUCAAGACUGCUUUACUUGAAUUCGGUAGAGGUUGGUGGAAUUCCCAGUGUAGAGGUGAAAUUCGUAGAGAUUGGGAAGAACACCCGUGGCGAAGGCGGCCAACUGGACCGACAUUGACGCUGAGGCGCGAAAGCGUGGGGAUCAAACAGG
Molecule: ribosomal RNA, 253 nt
Filed under: uncultured bacterium
Lineage: Bacteria
Description: partial 16S ribosomal RNA
Rfam family: Bacterial small subunit ribosomal RNA
Source: RNAcentral